Molecule: ribosomal RNA, 1511 nt
Filed under: Lactobacillus sp. JCM 7736
Lineage: Bacteria; Bacillati; Bacillota; Bacilli; Lactobacillales; Lactobacillaceae
Description: bacterial SSU rRNA
Rfam family: Bacterial small subunit ribosomal RNA
Source: RNAcentral
CCUGGCUCAGGAUGAACGCUGGCGGCGUGCCUAAUACAUGCAAGUCGAACGAGUUCUGAUUAUUGAAAGGUGCUUGCAUCUUGAUUUAAUUUUGAACGAGUGGCGGACGGGUGAGUAACACGUGGGUAACCUGCCCUUAAGUGGGGGAUAACAUUUGGAAACAGAUGCUAAUACCGCAUAAAUCCAAGAACCGCAUGGUUCUUGGCUGAAAGAUGGCGUAAGCUAUCGCUUUUGGAUGGACCCGCGGCGUAUUAGCUAGUUGGUGAGGUAACGGCUCACCAAGGCAAUGAUACGUAGCCGAACUGAGAGGUUGAUCGGCCACAUUGGGACUGAGACACGGCCCAAACUCCUACGGGAGGCAGCAGUAGGGAAUCUUCCACAAUGGACGCAAGUCUGAUGGAGCAACGCCGCGUGAGUGAAGAAGGCUUUCGGGUCGUAAAACUCUGUUGUUGGAGAAGAAUGGUCGGCAGAGUAACUGUUGUCGGCGUGACGGUAUCCAACCAGAAAGCCACGGCUAACUACGUGCCAGCAGCCGCGGUAAUACGUAGGUGGCAAGCGUUAUCCGGAUUUAUUGGGCGUAAAGCGAGCGCAGGCGGUUUUUUAAGUCUGAUGUGAAAGCCCUCGGCUUAACCGAGGAAGUGCAUCGGAAACUGGGAAACUUGAGUGCAGAAGAGGACAGUGGAACUCCAUGUGUAGCGGUGAAAUGCGUAGAUAUAUGGAAGAACACCAGUGGCGAAGGCGGCUGUCUGGUCUGUAACUGACGCUGAGGCUCGAAAGCAUGGGUAGCGAACAGGAUUAGAUACCCUGGUAGUCCAUGCCGUAAACGAUGAAUGCUAGGUGUUGGAGGGUUUCCGCCCUUCAGUGCCGCAGCUAACGCAUUAAGCAUUCCGCCUGGGGAGUACGACCGCAAGGUUGAAACUCAAAGGAAUUGACGGGGGCCCGCACAAGCGGUGGAGCAUGUGGUUUAAUUCGAAGCAACGCGAAGAACCUUACCAGGUCUUGACAUCUUUUGAUCACCUGAGAGAUCAGGUUUCCCCUUCGGGGGCAAAAUGACAGGUGGUGCAUGGUUGUCGUCAGCUCGUGUCGUGAGAUGUUGGGUUAAGUCCCGCAACGAGCGCAACCCUUAUGACUAGUUGCCAGCAUUUAGUUGGGCACUCUAGUAAGACUGCCGGUGACAAACCGGAGGAAGGUGGGGAUGACGUCAAAUCAUCAUGCCCCUUAUGACCUGGGCUACACACGUGCUACAAUGGAUGGUACAACGAGUUGCGAGACCGCGAGGUCAAGCUAAUCUCUUAAAGCCAUUCUCAGUUCGGACUGUAGGCUGCAACUCGCCUACACGAAGUCGGAAUCGCUAGUAAUCGCGGAUCAGCACGCCGCGGUGAAUACGUUCCCGGGCCUUGUACACACCGCCCGUCACACCAUGAGAGUUUGUAACACCCGAAGCCGGUGGCGUAACCCUUUUAGGGAGCGAGCCGUCUAAGGUGGGACAAAUGAUUAGGGUGAAGUCGUAC